This 75-nucleotide small nuclear RNA is filed under the name Lynx canadensis (Canada lynx). Its description in RNAcentral is "U2 spliceosomal RNA (ENSLCNG00005018693.1)". It matches the Rfam family "U2 spliceosomal RNA", at positions 1 to 117 of the family's 192-position model. From Rfam's summary of the family: U2 is a small nuclear RNA (snRNA) component of the spliceosome (involved in pre-mRNA splicing). Complementary binding between U2 snRNA (in an area lying towards the 5' end but 3' to hairpin I) and the branchpoint sequence (BPS) of the intron results the bulging out of an unpaired adenosine, on the BPS, which initiates a nucleophilic attack at the intronic 5' splice site, thus starting the first of two transesterification reactions that mediate splicing. Lineage: Eukaryota; Metazoa; Chordata; Mammalia; Carnivora; Felidae. The record is from Rfam by way of RNAcentral.
AUCGCUUCUCGGCCUUUUGGCUAAGAUCAAGUGUAAAAAUAAGUAAACAUUAAAAAAAUUUUUUUUUCAUUAAAA